Molecule: long non-coding RNA, 4859 nt
Filed under: Brassica napus (rape)
Lineage: Eukaryota; Viridiplantae; Streptophyta; Magnoliopsida; Brassicales; Brassicaceae
Description: long non-coding RNA (BNAP_LNC001872)
Source: RNAcentral
CGGCAGGUAUUUAUUUGAAAAUCAAUAUUACACAAAAAAAAAUACUUAUUGCAAAUAAUAUAGAAAAAGCUCGAAAUUGAAAUAUAAAUAUUUUCUGAUUUUUUACAUUUUAGAAAACAUAUUAAGAAAACAUUCAAAAUUUACAAGUUGACCAAGUUUUUGCCGCGAGGUUCUUUUUGACCGACCAGUGAAAUUCCGCGGUAAAUGGCGACACCGCCUCUGGUUACUGCGUUUGCCAUCCAUAGCCUCAAUCAAUGAAGCAGCAAUGCAAAUGGAGCUACGAUGAGUUCCCCUUGUUUAGAGACAUUUGGCUUCAAUCUCUUCAAGAGUGAGACCCUUUGUCUCAGGCACAAUGAAGUAUAUGAAGAAGAGAGACACUACACAUAUCACUCCGAAUCCACAGAACAACACUCCAGCUCCUAACAGCUCCUACAGAAAAAUACCAGGUGAGAAACAAUCUUAGAGUUGGUCAGCUUAGAGCUAAAUGGGGAACCUCUACUUGAGUUUCUUGGUUCUGUAAUCUUUACCUUUAGAGGUGAGAAAGCGAAUGUCACAAGCGCGUUUGUGCCGAAAUUCACAAGCACUGCUAUGCUGAUUCCUCUGCCUCUUAGUUUUAAGGGGAAUAUCUCUGAAAUCAUCAGCCAACCAAUAGGACCAAAGGAUAACUGUGCAAGAUCGUAUCAAAAAAAUUAAUUUCGAAGAGUGGAACCUUAAUUAGAAAGAAAAAAAUCUGUGAAAAAGUUUUACCUGAUAGCAGCCUACAUACAGUAGCAAUGCAACUACAGCAACAGCUGGUACAGUAUUAUAAAAGAUGUAGUAUGACCCCAGAAGGAACAGUGAGAUCAUCUGUUACACAAAGAGGCAAAACAAUUCUGAAUCAUUUAAUUUUUCUGUCUCAUGAAGCCAACCAAAAACAAAGAAAGCAAAAAAAAAAAAGACUGAAGAAGUAAGAAGACAGACCAUGCCACUAACACCACCAAGUAGUAAAGGCCUCCUUCCAAGUCUGUCAAUCACUAUAACAGCAACUCCAGUCAUAACCAACUGCAACAAUAAAGUUACCACGUUUAAGUCAUUCAAAAGGAAACAUAUUGCUGCAUAAAAACUUGUUCACAAGGAUAAGACAGUUUAAAAUUUGCUAACCACUGAUACACUUAUUAUUCCUCCAAUUUUUUCAUAGCUAAAAAGAUCUGAUAUGCCAACCUAGAUGGAAGAAGAUGAAUACCUUUAGUAAACCGAGCAGGAUUGAGAUCCGAGUUGCAUCAGUAGCAGCAGAGAAGCCAGCAGUCUAGUAGUUACAGCGGUACAAAGAAAGAAGUUAAGAUUCUCUCAAGAGCUUCCUCAUAGUGAAACAAAAGCCAACUUAAUUAGAGAUAAGAAGAAAAACCUGAAGUAUUGAUGGAGCAUAAUAAAGCACACUUGGUUGCCCAGUUAUCUACCAUUUCAAAAACAAACAUAUAUAUAUUUAGCUAUCAUUCUUUCUCCUAAAGGACAUUUGAUGAAUCUAACUGCACCAACCUGUUGCAACAAGACUAAACCUCCUGCUAUAGUGAGAGCUUUCAAGCACUUUCCCUGAAACAACUCACCAAGUGUAGCUUCUCUAUCCUCACCCACAGAGGAAAGCUCAGCCAAGAUCUCGUUCACUUGCUCAGCGGCUGAGUCAACUACCACAGACCCUCUAAGGCGGCGAAGAGACUUGAUUGCCGCCUGUUGAAGGCUCUCCACAUUCCCUUUUCCUUGGAGAGAGCGCAGUAACAGCCACCUAGGGGAUUCUGGUAGCCAACACAUUCCAAUUCCCAUAACAACCGGCAAAGGGAUGAUCGUUGCGUACAUGUAACGCCAACCAGAGGUAACCGUAACCCAAAGGCUACCUAUUCCAUAACCUCCCUUCACAAAACAGAGAGAAUCGAUUCUGUAACUUCAAACUGAGGAAUAAAAACUCUGAAAGCCACAGGGAUUUGAGAACUUACAACCAUCCCAAGGACGGUAAAGAACUCUUUCAGUGAGAUCAUCCGUCCACGUAUCUGACUAGGAGCAGUCUCAGCAAUGUACAUUGGAGCCGCGUGCAUUGUCUACAGUAUAUGGGAACAUAUUAGCUGCUAAAAAGAGUAAAUCUAAAGCUGCCAGAUCGGUCUUUACCAGUCCAACACCGAUGCCAUACAUAAGCCGUCCAAUAAUAAGGACAUAGAAGACAGGUGCCACUGCAGUCACAAUGGCUCCAACAAGAUAUAAGAACGCAGCCAAAAUCAGCUCCUUUCUUCUUCCUUGAAUAAAAUUAAUCCAAAACACUCAUUCAGAUGGAGAUGCUGCUAUGUAACGAGAUAAUGGAUUCAUAAGAAAACAAACCUAUAAUGUCAGCAACACUAAAUGCCACAAUGGAUCCAAUUAAGGCACCGUACAGUGAGCCACUAGUCUGCACAAAAAUUAUAAGAAACAUUGUAAGCAAAUUUAUUUGUCUUUCCACAAGAAGAGGAAACAAUAAAAAAAAACUAAUGCAAUAACUAACAAGGUGCAAGAAAAGUGGAAGAUAGACUCACAAUGAUACCAACAUCCACUGAAGACAAGUUGUACCAUGAGAUUCCACUUAGUUUAGGCGACUGCACAGGAAGGCAAAAGCAGCUUAGACUUAGUCAAAAUUCAAGAGAACAACGCAAUGGCACUGCUUAAGCACAGUUUAAAGGCAAUUUACCUUAAUAGAAAUGGUAGCACAAGAAGUGGCACCAAUCUCGUAACCAAAAAGCAAGGCUCCAAGAGCUGGAAAGAGAAACCUGACAAUAAAUGACUUCUUAGUAUGCUUUUUAAGACAAGUCUCUAUCAUGUGCAAAGCAACCACUUGCUUCUUUUCGAAGAAACAUAGGCAAUAAACUAUGAGUAGCAAUCAAAAUCUUUGUGGGACCAUAGUUUGUAUUAAUCACAACCAAACAAAAAAAAAGGAAAACGACAGAUAGAAAAAAAAAAAAGAUCAACCUACAACAAAAGAAAGGAAACAGGGGAUAAGUAAGUCACUCUAUGUGUUGUUAGCAUUGGAUCAACAACAAGAGUAAAAAAAAGUAAAGUCUGAUUACCUUUUCAUUACUGCCGGCACUUCCAACGACAUAACAUCCCAUAAUCUUUGCGAGUUGUCCAACGAGCUGACCAACAGCACCAGAUGCAGCUGACACGAAGACAGUCUCUCCUUUCUUAGGAGAACAGAUCUCAUAAAACCCGGAAUAGGCAGUCAUCCCAGCCAUACCUGUCAGAAACAGAGCAAUGACCACUAGUAAACUACUGAACAAUGUCAUUUAAUUUUCAACAUAUGAUUGGGAGAUUGUGUCAAUAACCCAAGGCCAGGCCACAAUAAUCAAUGUAUCAUGCUAAUAAUCAUGGAGAGAGAAGCACAUCAAGCAUUGUAAUAUCACAAAGCUUUCACUAUUAAGUUCACAUUUUUCUCUAGAAGUUACCAAGCGAAAACUGCAUGGAUGGUCAAAAUAGAAAGACAUACCAAGAAGGCCAGUGUAGUAGGACAAGGGAACAUCGGUGUGUAGGAUCUUAAAAUGUGAGUAAGGAGUUAGAGUAACAACACUGUACUCCUCCCAUCCAACAAUACCCCAAAGUAAGUCUCCCUUUGUGUAAUCAGGGUGCCCCGAUUCUAUCACUUUUGACACUCCAUACCCAUAUAUUGGCUGCAAACACAACACGGUGAACCAUUUACCAAUAGGUAACCUUGGCAAAAAAAAAAUUUACCAAUAGGUAAGAAUAAAAUUAACAUGGGGUUAAUAAAAUAAUAGUAUUUGAAUUUUAAAAUAUUUAUUCAAAUCUAUCACUGCUACAAACAGUGAACGUAUGCAUGACUGGUUACACUUAUUCACUAAUCACGAAAAGUCCACCAUAGAUUCUUCAUAAUUUGUACCUGGCCGGGUUUGAACGGUAGAGCGAGAGCAGCAGCGGAGGGAUCAGGCUUGCCCAUGCGAAUGCGCAUGUAAGGAUCGCAAGACAAGAAGAGAUUCUUUACCAGAACCUUGUUAGAUCCCGCCGGAACACUUAGAUCCACGGUGGCAUCGUUGAAGACGAGGUCUGAUUCCUUGGGGAAACCGGUGACGUAAUCUCGCAAUAUGACUUGCUUGUUGCUCGCCAUUGUUAUCUUCUGAUUUAGUUUUUGGUAUUGUGAUUUUUCUUGUUUAUGUCUGUAGGAACGUUGAGGACGCGCGUCUGCUUUUUAUAGGGGAUUUUAUGUAACGUGUGAUCAUAGCCACAAUCUCUGAAGAUAAAAAGAGAAUUAUCGUCUUAUUUCUUUUCCAGUUACUGACGUUUAUAUUAUGUUCUGUGUGAUAAUCAGUGACGUCACAGUGUGUAGUACAAUUUUUAUUUUCACACUACAUUCAUAUUGUUUUGAACUACUUUUUGUUGUUGUUAUUUUGCGAUAAUUCAGUUUCGUUUCACAUUUCAUAAUUUUUUUUGUCGGCAGGUAUUUAUUUGAAAAUCAAUAUUACACAAAAAAAAAUACUUAUUGCAAAUAAUAUAGAAAAAGCUCGAAAUUGAAAUAUAAAUAUUUUCUGAUUUUUUACAUUUUAGAAAACAUAUUAAGAAAACAUUCAAAAUUUACAAGUUGACCAAGUUUUUGCCGCGAGGUUCUUUUUGACCGACCAGUGAAAUUCCGCGGUAAAUGGCGACACCGCCUCUGGUUACUGCGUUUGCCAUCCAUAGCCUCAAUCAAUGAAGCAGCAAUGCAAAUGGAGCUACGAUGAGUUCCCCUUGUUUAGAGACAUUUGGCUUCAAUCUCUUCAAGAGUGAGACCCUUUGUCUCAGGCACAAUGAAGUAUAUGAAGAAGAGAGACACUACACAUAUCACUCCGAAUCCACAGAACAACACUCCAGCUCCUAAC